AAGAAAGUAAGAAAGAGCGAACGGUGGAUGCCUUGGCUCUCGGAGGCGAAGAAGGACGUGAUAAGCUGCGAUAAGCUUCGGGGAGGUGCAAAUAACCCUUAAUCCGAAGAUUUCCGAAUGGGGCAACCCAACUAACUGAAGGUUAGUUAUCCUUUUAUAAGGAGGCGAACGCAGGGAACUGAAACAUCUAAGUACCUGCAGGAGAAGAAAACAAAAGUGAUUGCGCAAGUAGUGGCGAGCGAACGCGCAGAAGCCCAAACCAAUGAUGUUUAGGCAUGAUUGGGGUUAUAGGACUGCGAAGUAGAUUUAUAUUAAGAAUCAGAACCAAUUGGAAAAUUGGGCCAAAGAAGGUGAAAGCCCAGUAUGAGUAUUUAAUAUAAAUUUUAGCAGUAUCCUGAGUAGUGCGGGACACGAGAAAUCCUGUAUGAAUUUGCCGGGACCAUCCGGUAAGGCUAAAUACUCCCGAGAGACCGAUAGCGAACAAGUACUGUGAAGGAAAGGUGAAAAGAACCUCGAAUAGAGGAGUGAAAUAGAACCUGAAACCGUUCGCUUACAAGCGGUUGGAGCUCCUACGUGGAGUGACAGCGUGCCUUUUGCAUAAUGAACCUACGAGUUACUGUCACUAGCAAGGUUAAGGUCUUCAGGACCGCAGCCGAAGCGAAAGCGAGUCUUAACAGGGCGUUAAGUUAGUGGGAGUAGACGCGAAACCAAGUGAUCUACCCUUGAGCAGGUUGAAGGUUGGGUAACACCAACUGGAGGACCGAACCGGUAAGCGUUGAAAAGCUUUCGGAUGACUUGAGGGUAGGGGUGAAAGGCUAAUCAAACUUGGAGAUAGCUCGUACUCCCCGAAAUGCAUUUAGGUGCAGCCUUGAGAUAGUUUAUAAGAGGUAGAGCGACUGAUUGGAUGCGAGGGCUUCACCGCCUAUCAAGUCCUGAUAAACUCCGAAUGCUUAUAAAUAUUUCUCAGGAGUGAGGGCAUGGGUGCUAAGGUCCAUGUCCGAGAGGAGAAGAAUCCAGACCAUCAGCUAAGGUCCCCAAAUAUAUGCUAAGUUGCAUUAACGAAGUCGAACUGCAGAGACAGCUAGGAUGUUGGCUUGGAAGCAGCCAUUCAUUUAAAGAGUGCGUAACAGCUCACUAGUCGAGCGGUUUGGCGUGGAUAAUAAUCGGGCAUAAGCAUAUUACCGAAGCUAUGGGAUCGAAAGAUCGGUAGGGGAGCAUUCUUGACCGCGUAGAAGGCAUAUCGUCAGGUAUUCUGGAGCGUCAAGAAAAGCAAAUGUAGGUAUAAGUAACGAUAAUGGGAGCGAGAAACUCCCACGCCGAAAGACUAAGGGUUCCUGAUCAACGCUAAUCGGAUCAGGGUUAGUCGGGGCCUAAGGAGAAGCCGACAGGCACAUCCGAUGGAAGAACCGGUUAAUAUUCCGGUACUACCUUAUAGAGUGAAGUGGGGACGAAGGAGUGAAAGUCCUGCGUGGUGACGGAAUACCACGUUAAAGGGUGUAGAUGCUGAGAGAGAUAGGCAAAUCCGUUUCUUGAGUCGAACCUGAAAGUAUGGCGAGCCCUUGUGGUGAGCCAAUAUGGAUGUAAACAUACUUCCAAGAAAAACCGCUAGCGUUAAUUUAUAAGGUACUCGUACUCUAAACCGACACAGGUGGUCACGUAUAAUGUACUAAGGCGCUCGAGUGAUUCACAGCUAAGGAACUAGGCAAAAUAGUCCUGUAACUUCGGGAGAAAGGACGCCUCCCCACGCAAGUGGGAGGCCGCAGAGAAAUGGCCCAGGCGACUGUUUAACAAAAACAUAGGGCUAUGCAAAAUCGAAAGAUGAAGUAUAUGGCCUGACACCUGCCCGGUGCUGGAAGGUUAAGAGGAGAUGUCAUCGCAAGAGAAGCAUUGAAUUGAAGCCCCAGUAAACGGCGGCCGUAACUAUAACGGUCCUAAGGUAGCGAAAUUCCUUGUCGGGUAAGUUCCGACCUGCACGAAUGGUGUAACGAUCUGGGCACUGUCUCAGCUGUGAGCUCGGUGAAAUUG
Molecule: ribosomal RNA, 2025 nt
Filed under: Desulfosporosinus sp.
Lineage: Bacteria; Bacillati; Bacillota; Clostridia; Eubacteriales; Desulfitobacteriaceae
Description: partial 23S ribosomal RNA
Rfam family: Bacterial large subunit ribosomal RNA
Source: RNAcentral